This is a long non-coding RNA of Hipposideros armiger (great roundleaf bat), 692 nucleotides long. RefSeq lists it as uncharacterized. The record is from RefSeq and is a predicted model, not a curated record. NCBI's taxonomy places the organism in Eukaryota, Metazoa, Chordata, Mammalia, Chiroptera, Hipposideridae. The transcript has 3 exons.
CAAGAAUGAAGAGAGAAAUUUUAAGGGGCAGAGUCAGGGGUCUUACAGUUGGCAGAGACUUGGAAAAGCUGAAGAGUCCAAGAGUUUUCCAACGAGGAUCCGAGGCCAGAUGCACCCAAGGUCACCCAGCUGGGCCUGAAUUGCCAUGGACGGGGAGCACCAGGAGAGACCCAGGGCACCACCAAUGCCCUUCUUCCAGUGCCCCAGGGCAGUUCCCAGGAAAUGUCGUUGCUGCUUACAAGAAUCUGAAGAUUUUUAUAGCUCAUGAUCAAUAAUGCCAAAGAAUCUUCCAGAAAGGAUGCAGGGGCGUUUCCUCACCCUCCCCAUAUAUCUCCUGCAUCACUAUUACUAUGUUUUAAAAUCUUUCCUUAUUGAAUAUUUAAAAAUGACAUCUUCCUGUUUUAAUUUGCACAUCUUUGAUGAUGACUGAGGUAGAUACUUUUUCCUCAGUUUACUUCUUAUUGGCGUUUUCUCCUUUGUGAAUGUUCUGUUUUUACACAAAAGGACUUUUUGAACAGGGUGAGUCAACUGUUCUUUUGCUGUAUGGCUCCAACAUACUGGGAUAUCAGCUCACUGGGGCUGACCCCAGGGCCACACCAGGCAGUCAGACCAUUUUGAAGAAACAAUAUCUGGUCUUGUGAUUAACAAAGGAUCCAGCAAUUUGCUUAGAAAUGAAUGAUUUACAAAUGGAU